UACGAGGGGGGCGAGCGUUGUUCGGAAUCAUUGGGCGUAAAGCGCGUGUAGGCGGUUAGAUAAGUCAAUUGUGAAAUCCCUGGGCUCAACCGAGGAAGUGCAGUCGAAACUAUCUGGCUAGAAGGUGGUAGAGGGAGGUGGAAUUCCAAGUGUAGAGGUGAAAUUCGUAGAUAUCUGGAGGAAUACCGGCGGCGAAGGCGGCCUCCUGGACCAUUCUUGACGCUGAGACGCGAAAGCGUGGGUAGCAAACAGG
This 253-nucleotide ribosomal RNA is filed under the name uncultured prokaryote. RNAcentral's name for it is "partial 16S ribosomal RNA". It matches the Rfam family "Bacterial small subunit ribosomal RNA", at positions 524 to 776 of the family's 1533-position model. The record is from RNAcentral.